RNAcentral lists this ribosomal RNA (490 nucleotides) under uncultured bacterium. RNAcentral describes it as "partial 16S ribosomal RNA". It matches the Rfam family "Bacterial small subunit ribosomal RNA", at positions 30 to 507 of the family's 1533-position model. The record is from RNAcentral.
AUUGAACGCUGGCGGCAGGCCUAACACAUGCAAGUCGAACGGUAACAGGAAGAAGCUUCCUUCUUUGCUGACGAGUGGCGGACGGGUGAGUAAUGUCUGGGAAACUGCCUGAUGGAGGGGGAUAACUACUGGAAACGGUAGCUAAUACCGCAUAACGUCGCAAGACCAAAGAGGGGGACCUUCGGGCCUCUUGCCAUCGGAUGUGCCCAGAUGGGAUUAGCUUGUUGGUGGGGUAACGGCUCACCAAGGCGACGAUCCCUAGCUGGUCUGAGAGGAUGACCAGCCACACUGGAACUGAGACACGGUCCAGACUCCUACGGGAGGCAGCAGUGGGGAAUAUUGCACAAUGGGCGCAAGCCUGAUGCAGCCAUGCCGCGUGUAUGAAGAAGGCCUUCGGGUUGUAAAGUACUUUCAGCGGGGAGGAAGGGAGUAAAGUUAAUACCUUUGCUCAUUGACGUUACCCGCAGAAGAAGCACCGGCUAACUCCGUG